This 468-nucleotide ribosomal RNA is filed under the name uncultured bacterium. RNAcentral's name for it is "partial 16S ribosomal RNA". It matches the Rfam family "Bacterial small subunit ribosomal RNA", at positions 28 to 507 of the family's 1533-position model. The record is from RNAcentral.
GACGAACGCUGGCGGCGUGCUUAACACAUGCAAGUCGAACGGAAAGGUCCUGCUUUUGUGGGGUGCUCGAGUGGCGAACGGGUGAGUAACACGUGAGUAACCUGCCCUUGACUUUGGGAUAACUUCAGGAAACUGGGGCUAAUACCGGAUAGGAGCUCCUGCUGCAUGGUGGGGGUUGGAAAGUUUCGGCGGUUGGGGGUGGACUCGCGGCUUAUCAGCUUGUUGGUGGGGUAGUGGCUUACCAAGGCUUUGACGGGUAGCCGGCCUGAGAGGGUGACCGGCCACAUUGGGACUGAGAUACGGCCCAGACUCCUACGGGAGGCAGCAGUGGGGAAUAUUGCACAAUGGGCGGAAGCCUGAUGCAGCAACGCCGCGUGCGGGAUGACGGCCUUCGGGUUGUAAACCGCUUUCGCCUGUGACGAAGCGUGAGUGACGGUAAUGGGUAAAGAAGCACCGGCUAACUACGUG